AUAUUAUUAGAAUAUAUAUUAUUAGAAUUUUUUUUUUUAUUUUGAAUAAAUGCAGUUCUUUUUAACCUUUUAUUCAUCAAAUAUAUUAGACAGCAGAACUGUUUCCAACACUCAUAAUAAAUCAGAAUAUUAGAAUGAUUUCUAAAUGAUCAUGUGAUAGACUGGAUGUUACAUGUGACACUGAAGGCUGGAGUAAUGAUGCUGAAAAUUCAGCUUUGCAUCACAGGAAUAAAUUAUUUUUUUAAAAGUAUAUUCAAAUAGAAAACUAUUAUUUUAAGUUGUAAUAAUAUUUCACAAUAUUACUGUUUUUCUGUAUUUUUGAUCAAAUAAAUGCAGGCUUGAUGAGCAGAAGAAACUUCUUUCAAAAACAUUAAAAAUAGUAAUGUUUCCAAACUUUUGGUCUGUACUGUAUAUGUUUUACUAUCAGUGUGAAAAAUUUUCUCUAAAAAAAAAAAAGUGUUUCUCUCGAAAUGCUUUUCUUUGCUCUCGAUGCAAUUUCUUGCUCUCGUGUCAGGAUUUUGCUUUCACUGUGAGAAUUGUGUCAUGGGCGGGGUCACGUUCCUAUUGGCCAGUCGGGGGAGCAUCGUCUUGUCUUGGGAGUCGAACUGAAUCAUUACACUGUUGUUCGGUUCACCUGCAUAGAUGCCGCCUCUGCCUUAUGGCUAGUUUAGUUGAGCACGGACACUCCAAUGUUUGGUUCCAGAGGCCACCAGACAACUAUGAAUCUACUUCACCCAUCGAAGAGCCUUCUUUAUUUGCUCCUAACCUUUGGACCCUUUCUAGGUGGAAUGUCGAUCCCGGUUGCAGUAAACAUUGGGGAUACUGCGAUUUUCACUUGUAAUGAGACAUGUAAUGGACAUCUCUUGUGGACAUUCCGCACUAACAAUGAAAAUCUAGACGUUGUAAAAUGUGUCCAAGAGACUUGCACCAAAGGAGACAACUUUAAGAACAGAGUGAGCCUUAAGCCUGGAAAAAUGUCUCUAGCCCUGUAUCCUGUUCUGUACAAUGAUGAAGGCUGGUACAUUGUCAAAUGUGAUUCAGCGGUUGCCUGUAGAUUCCACUUAGAAGCUCUUGUACCAACUACUGUGAGCACCUCAGUCAGUAGCAAUGUCACACUACCCUGCUAUGCACGCACAGAGAAACAAAUCACUGAUGACACUGUGAAUAUCCUGUGGAAAAAAGAUGACCGAACGGUGUUACAAGUUCAAAAAGGAAUUACAACAUAUGGCUCAGGAUUUACAGGCAGGGUAUUAGUUUCACUGCACUAUUAUAAGGACGGAGAUCUUUCCCUUAACAUGGUCAGGGUCACCAUGUCAGAUAAGGGAUUGUACCGGUGCUAUCACAGAACUACAGAAGAACAGGGUUAUCCUGGUGCUGUUACUCUCAAUGUUACAGGUUGUUAAAUAUUACAUUUUUUACACUUUCUUUUUUCUCCUGUAAUAGAAAAAAAAAGUUUAACUAAAAGAGUGAAAUUCUUUCUUCAGCUGAUCAAAAGUUUUAUGCAAAAAAGUUUGGGGGAAAUCUCACCCUGGACCUGUUUGGCUCUGACCAUGUAAGGGUAACUUUCACCGUUCAUGAUGCAGAUGAGACGCCUGUUUGCAGUGUGACGGGAAACAAACCUACAUGCUCAUCUGAGUACACGCACAGAAUAUCUGUCAUAAAUGACUUCCUUGUGCUGCGCGAGUUAACGUCCACUGAUACAGGCACAUUUACUGUGAAAAAUGAGAUGGAUGAAGUCAUUGGUGUCAACACUGUCACUGUGGAGGGUAAGUUUGAAAUCAAACUAAUUUCAUUUUUUGUUGUUUAAUUUGUUCUUUUCAGUUUUAAUAAUUGGCUUUCGUUUGCAUUCAGAACUAAGUUCCUUUCUUUGUCAUGCACAGGUGUGACCCAGAGACAUCACUACAUAGCUCUGUCUGUGAUAAUUGGUUUCAUUCUCAUUUGCCUGUUCCUUUGCUGUCAGUGUUGUAGACAGUCACAAGCACAGCAGUAUCGCUGCAGUUAUAGUGCAAUACAGUCUAAUGUGAAUAUAAAUCCAGAACCGAUGAGAGAGCCUGCAUGCAUUGAAUUUUCACAAGAAGAAACCAACCCAGAGCCUGAAGUUCAUCUACACACACCUGUCGAGGAGACCAUGCCUGAGCCUGUGAGGACCACUGAGAAGCAAGACAACACUGAAGAGUAUAUUACGUGUGGAAUAGGAAUUAGAGAAACAAUUUAAGAAUACUUUAAGAGAACUGAAAAAAAAAAAAAAAAAAUCCUCCUCAAAUGUUCUUCCGCUGCUGUAUUAUAUGCUAUGAAAAAGAUGGCAUUAGAUUUAAUUGGAUAUUCUUUGAGCAACUGCAUAACUGUGCCAGUGAACAAUAUGUUAAACUUGAAGAGAAAUUGAUUAUAUUUUUUACUUCAGGA
Molecule: long non-coding RNA, 2403 nt
Organism: Cyprinus carpio (common carp)
Lineage: Eukaryota; Metazoa; Chordata; Actinopteri; Cypriniformes; Cyprinidae
Source: Ensembl